Molecule: long non-coding RNA, 647 nt
Filed under: Triticum aestivum (bread wheat)
Lineage: Eukaryota; Viridiplantae; Streptophyta; Magnoliopsida; Poales; Poaceae
Description: long non-coding RNA (TAES_LNC003364)
Source: RNAcentral
UUUAAUGCCUCACAAUAGUUUUUGCAUGGCCAGUUAACCCUGAAAGAAGAAAGUCUGUGAUAUUACACUUAAUAUGUAAAAGAGGCUCAAACACAAAAUUAAAUUCAAAAUAAAACUAAUGCUCAUGUAGCAUAUUUUGUAUUUAAAACACAAGACAGUACCGUCAAAUGUUAUAUAUCAGUUAGCUAAGUAGGAAUCUCUCAUUGGACCGUGCCUCUAAAUUAUACCGUCGAGGCAUGAAACUAAGUAUUUUUGGUCAGGAAAACAAAGAUGCCCGCUUCCGCACCAUGAAUCGCAGAAUUUUCAUAUAGUUGUACUCACAAAGCUAUUUAAACAUAAAAGGAAACAAUAGAACCUUGUAUAUUUGUACAACCUAUCAAGAACAAAGUUGUGAAUUAAUCUCUUUGUAUUGAUGCCCUCAUCACCUAGCCCACUAUCACUGAUGCCUUCUCUUCCGGCACCAUAAGUAGUGUGAUCAUUUUAGAAAUAUGACCAGUUAUAUUCUACUUGUAUCUAUCUCUAUCUUGCGGUUCCACUGCUCACUAUCGUGGUUGGACUGCUCAUGUCGGAUUAGAGUUAUGGUGCCCUACGAAACAUGAGCAAAGUUUGAACAAUCCAAUGGUUAUAUUCUACUUAAGCUGGGACCA